UGGGGAAUAUUGCACAAUGGGCGAAAGCCUGAUGCAGCGACGCCGCGUGAGGGAUGACGGCCUUCGGGUUGUAAACCUCUUUCAGUAGGGACGAAGCGCAAGUGACGGUACCUGCAGAAGAAGCACCGGCUAACUACGUGCCAGCAGCCGCGGUAAUACGUAGGGUGCGAGCGUUGUCCGGAAUUACUGGGCGUAAAGAGCUCGUAGGCGGUUUGUCACGUCGUCUGUGAAAUCCUAGGGCUUAACCCUGGACGUGCAGGCGAUACGGGCUGACUUGAGGACUACAGGCGAGACUGGAAUUUCUGGUGUAGCGGUGGAAUGCACAGAUAUCAGGAAGAACACCGAUGGCGAAGGCAGGUCUCUGGGUAGUAACUGACGCUGAGGAGCGAAAGCAUGGGUAGCGAACAGG
This 409-nucleotide ribosomal RNA is filed under the name bacterium. Its description in RNAcentral is "partial 16S ribosomal RNA". It matches the Rfam family "Bacterial small subunit ribosomal RNA", at positions 355 to 776 of the family's 1533-position model. The record is from RNAcentral.